UGAAGUAAAAAAGUCGUAACAAGGUCUCCGUUGGUGAACCAGCGGAGGGAUCAUUACCGAGUUUACAACUCCCAAACCCCUGUGAACAUACCAAUUGUUGCCUCGGCGGAUCAGCCCGCUCCCGGUAAAACGGGACGGCCCGCCAGAGGACCCCUAAACUCUGUUUCUAUAUGUAACUUCUGAGUAAAACCAUAAAUAAAUCAAAACUUUCAACAACGGAUCUCUUGGUUCUGGCAUCGAUGAAGAACGCAGCAAAAUGCGAUAAGUAAUGUGAAUUGCAGAAUUCAGUGAAUCAUCGAAUCUUUGAACGCACAUUGCGCCCGCCAGUAUUCUGGCGGGCAUGCCUGUUCGAGCGUCAUUUCAACCCUCAAGCCCAGCUUGGUGUUGGGAUUCGCGAGUUAAAUCGCGUUCCCCAAAUUGAUUGGCGGUCACGUCGAGCUUCCAUAGCGUAGUAGUAAAACCCUCGUUACUGGUAAUCGUCGCGGCCACGCCGUUAAACCCCAACUUCUGAAUGUGACCUCGAUCAGGAGGAUUCCG
RNAcentral lists this ribosomal RNA (537 nucleotides) under Fusarium proliferatum. Its description in RNAcentral is "partial 18S ribosomal RNA". The stretch from base 205 to 358 matches the Rfam family "5.8S ribosomal RNA". Lineage: Eukaryota; Fungi; Ascomycota; Sordariomycetes; Hypocreales; Nectriaceae. The record is from RNAcentral.